Molecule: ribosomal RNA, 483 nt
Filed under: uncultured bacterium
Lineage: Bacteria
Description: partial 16S ribosomal RNA
Rfam family: Bacterial small subunit ribosomal RNA
Source: RNAcentral
GACGAACGCUGGCGGCGUGCUUAACACAUGCAAGUCGAACGCUGAAGCUCAGCUUUUGUUGGGUGGAUGAGUGGCGAACGGGUGAGUAACACGUGAGUAACCUGCCCCCUUCUUUGGGAUAACGCCCGGAAACGGGUGCUAAUACUGGAUAUUCACUGGUCUUCGCAUGGGGGUUGGUGGAAAGGGUUUUUCUGGUGGGGGAUGGGCUCGCGGCCUAUCAGCUUGUUGGUGGGGUGAUGGCCUACCAAGGCUUUGACGGGUAGCCGGCCUGAGAGGGUGACCGGUCACAUUGGGACUGAGAUACGGCCCAGACUCCUACGGGAGGCAGCAGUGGGGAAUAUUGCACAAUGGGCGCAAGUCUGAUGCAGCGACGCCGCGUGAGGGAUGGAGGCCUUCGGGUUGUGAACCUCUUUCGCUCAUGGUCAAGCCGCAACAAUGGUUGUGGUGAGGGUAGUGGGUAAAGAAGCGCCGGCUAACUACGUG